RNAcentral lists this ribosomal RNA (253 nucleotides) under uncultured bacterium. Its description in RNAcentral is "partial 16S ribosomal RNA". It matches the Rfam family "Bacterial small subunit ribosomal RNA", at positions 524 to 776 of the family's 1533-position model. The record is from RNAcentral.
UACGGAGGGGACUAGCGUUGUUCGGAAUUACUGGGCGUAAAGGGCUCGUAGGCGGCCAACUAAGUCAGACGUGAAAUCCCCAGGCUCAACCUGGGAACUGCGUCUGAUACUGGAUGGCUUGAAUUCGGGAGAGGGAUGCAGAAUUCCAGGUGUAGCGGUGAAAUGCGUAGAUAUCUGGAGGAAUACCGGUGGCGAAGGCGGCAUCCUGGACCAUUACUGACGCUGAGGCGCGAAAGCUAGGGGAGCAAACGGG